AGUAAUCACCGCCGUUCCAUGCCCUCGCCCGCCAGGCCGCCUCUACAAUCCACGCCUCGCUGCUCCCGAUCCAAUUCAUACCGCGACGGCGACGGCGCGACACAUGCUUCUUCAGUUGUCAAAUCUUCUGGAUCCUCCGGAUCCAGCCAACAGGAACUAGCCAAGGACCCAAGCUAUGAAGAGAAAAGCGCUGCCAAACACUGUUAAGAUUAGUUCAUUUUUAAGCCGGUUGUUUCAAGUUCGAGCUACUGAAAUUGUCUCAAGUUCGAGCUACUAAAAUUGUCUCAAGUUCUCGGUAUUGCAUGAUCAUAUAUGUUGAAGAAAAUUUAGAAGGUUAUGAAAUGGCAUCUAACUAGAAGGAUCGACCGAGCGGACUCGUGUAAAAGAAGCACAAGACACGAUUGAACUGAAGGGGCAAGGGAUG
Triticum aestivum (bread wheat) is the source of this 424-nucleotide long non-coding RNA. RefSeq lists it as uncharacterized. Lineage: Eukaryota; Viridiplantae; Streptophyta; Magnoliopsida; Poales; Poaceae. The record is from RefSeq and is a predicted model, not a curated record. The transcript has 3 exons.